UACGGAAGGCAGCAGUGGGGAAUAUUGCACAAUGGGCGCAAGCCUGAUGCAGCCAUGCCGCGUGUAUGAAAAAGGCCUUCGGGUUGUAAAGUACUUUCAGUCGUGAGGAAGGUGUUAAGGUUAAUAACCUUAGCAAUUGACGUUAGCGACAGAAGAAGCACCGGCUAACUCCGUGCCAGCAGCCGCGGUAAUACGGAGGGUGCGAGCGUUAAUCGGAAUUACUGGGCGUAAAGGGCACGCAGGCGGUUAAUUAAGUUGGAUGUGAAAUCCCCGGGCUUAACCUGGGAAUGGCAUUCAAGACUGGUUAGCUAGAGUCUUGUAGAGGGGGUAGAAUUCCAUGUGUAGCGGUGAAAUGCGUAGAGAUGUGGAGGAAUACCGGUGGCGAAGGCGGCCCCGUGGACAAAGACUGACGCUCAUGUGCGAAAGCGUGGGGAGCGAAACGAGGGAUUAGAUACC
RNAcentral lists this ribosomal RNA (456 nucleotides) under uncultured bacterium. RNAcentral's name for it is "bacterial SSU rRNA". It matches the Rfam family "Bacterial small subunit ribosomal RNA", at positions 340 to 786 of the family's 1533-position model. The record is from RNAcentral.